CCUACGGUGAGCAGCAGUGAGGAAUAUUGGUCAAUGGACGCAAGUCUGAACCAGCCAUGCCGCGUGCAGGAAGACGGCUCUAUGAGUUGUAAACUGCUUUUGUACGAGGGUAAACGCAGAUACGCGUAUCUGUCUGAAAGUAUCGUACGAAUAAGGAUCGGCUAACUCCGUGCCAGCAGCCGCGGUAAUACGGAGGAUUCAAGCGUUAUCCGGAUUUAUUGGGUUUAAAGGGUGCGUAGGCGGUCGGAUAAGUUAGAGGUGAAAUCCCGAGGCUCAACUUCGGCAUUGCCUCUGAUACUGGUCGGCUAGAGAGGAGGUGCGGGAGGAGGAAUGUAUGGGGUAGCGGGGAAAUGCAUAGAGAUCAUACAGAACACCGAUUGCGAAGGCAGCUUGCC
This 395-nucleotide ribosomal RNA is filed under the name uncultured bacterium. Its description in RNAcentral is "partial 16S ribosomal RNA". It matches the Rfam family "Bacterial small subunit ribosomal RNA", at positions 338 to 730 of the family's 1533-position model. The record is from RNAcentral.